AACCACACCGUCGUACAAGUGAACAAAAACGCCAACCCAGACCCACUGCCAAAAAAAGAGGAAGAGAAGAAGGAGGAGGAGGAAGACGACCGUGGGGAAGACGGCCCUAAGCCAAUGCCUCCCUAUAGCUCCAUGUUCAUCCUGUCCACGACCAACCCCCUUCGCCGCCUGUGCCAUUACAUCCUGAACCUGCGCUACUUUGAGAUGUGCAUCCUCAUGGUCAUUGCCAUGAGCAGCAUCGCCCUGGCCGCCGAGGACCCUGUGCAGCCCAACGCACCUCGGAACAACGUGCUGCGAUAUUUUGACUACGUUUUUACAGGCGUCUUUACCUUUGAGAUGGUGAUCAAGAUGAUUGACCUGGGGCUCGUCCUGCAUCAGGGUGCCUACUUCCGUGACCUCUGGAAUAUUCUCGACUUCAUAGUGGUCAGUGGGGCCCUGGUAGCCUUUGCCUUCACUGGCAAUAGCAAAGGAAAAGACAUCAACACGAUUAAAUCCCUCCGAGUCCUCCGGGUGCUACGACCUCUUAAAACCAUCAAGCGGCUGCCAAAGCUCAAGGCUGUGUUUGACUGUGUGGUGAACUCACUUAAAAACGUCUUCAACAUCCUCAUCGUCUACAUGCUAUUCAUGUUCAUCUUCGCCGUGGUGGCUGUGCAGCUCUUCAAGGGGAAAUUCUUCCACUGCACUGACGAGUCCAAAGAGUUUGAGAAAGAUUGUCGAGGCAAAUACCUCCUCUACGAGAAGAAUGAGGUGAAGGCGCGAGAUCGGGAGUGGAAGAAGUAUGAAUUCCAUUACGACAAUGUGCUGUGGGCUCUGCUGACCCUCUUCACCGUGUCCACGGGAGAAGGCUGGCCACAGGUCCUCAAGCAUUCGGUGGACGCCACCUUUGAGAACCAGGGCCCCAGCCCCGGGUACCGCAUGGAGAUGUCCAUUUUCUACGUCGUCUACUUUGUGGUGUUCCCCUUCUUCUUUGUCAAUAUCUUUGUGGCCUUGAUCAUCAUCACCUUCCAGGAGCAAGGGGACAAGAUGAUGGAGGAAUACAGCCUGGAGAAAAAUGAGAGGGCCUGCAUUGAUUUCGCCAUCAGCGCCAAGCCGCUGACCCGACACAUGCCGCAGAACAAGCAGAGCUUCCAGUACCGCAUGUGGCAGUUCGUGGUGUCUCCGCCUUUCGAGUACACGAUCAUGGCCAUGAUCGCCCUCAACACCAUCGUGCUUAUGAUGAAGUUCUAUGGGGCUUCAGUUGCUUAUGAAAAUGCCCUGAGGGUGUUCAACAUCGUCUUCACCUCCCUCUUCUCUCUGGAAUGUGUGCUGAAAGUCAUGGCUUUUGGGAUUCUGAAUUAUUUCCGCGAUGCCUGGAACAUCUUCGACUUUGUGACUGUUCUGGGCAGCAUCACCGAUAUCCUCGUGACUGAGUUUGGGGUAAGUCUCCCUCCAGCUUCUCUCUGGGUGACUCUGGGCUGGACGAGGCAGGCGGCAGGGGGCGGGGGAGCGGUCCCAGAGGCAGUGUGUCCCGGCAGCCAUAGCUGCUUGAGCCAGCACUUGGCCAUGACCAGAGAGGGAGAACUGGGGCCCCGGGGACAAUGGCAGCCCCUCAGGAGGGCAUCGUGGGGAGAUGGGGGUGACCAAAGCUUGGCUGUAGGGCCAGCACUGAGGGGUGGGCUUUCCUGCAUCCUGGCCUAGGAAUUAAUAAUGCAGAUGAGUACAUUGAGGGAACUGAGACACUCAAAAGCUCCGAAAGCUGAGCCGGCUCCCAAACACCACCCUAUGUCAGGAGCCCAGAAAGAAUGGGUUUCGAGUCAAUUCUGUUUGAACCAACCCUCUCCUAGUUGGCAGGAGAGAGCCACAGCCCUCAGGCCAGUGUGGGGACACCACUCCCAGGGCCAUAGAGAGGUCCCCAGGGUGUCUUCCCUCCUCUAGCCCCGGGCCUGGGAGACUCUCAACAUGGGAGUCUCUGGACCUCUCUGUGGUGGCCUCACAGGCCACAUUGCCCUUCUCCUUUUCUGGAAGACUCAGGGCCCCAGAGGUCCUGUCCUAGACCCUCUCCUUGGCCAUCUGCCAAUGAGCCCAGGCUUGGGGUCCCUCAGGAGAUUGGGGGGAGGGUAGAAGAUCCUUGCAGGGGGAAGCAAUGGUCAAAAAAGGGUGUCAAAGCCAAGGGUCAAGGGUGAUAUCGAUGUCAUCUUACUAACAAUAAAAAUAACAAUAGCUCACGAGAAUCGCAGCCUUGCUGUGUGCCAGGGAACUGUGCCAAGUGGUUUACGUGGAUUGGCUCAGGAUAGAGGUCUUGGUCUCAGCUCGUGAGAGAAUUCCCUCGGAGGGUUCAACUGAAGGCACCCAAAUGCAGAGCUCACUGGUGGAGGGGAAGGGAAGGGUGCCCACAAGGGUGGCAAGGUGUCCAGCGACCAGCCACCAUGGGGAGCUGUUACCUGCCCAGGUGCUGAAGUGGGGAGGAAACCUGAGCCGGAGGCCAGGAGAAGCCACCAAGUGGGAGCUGUCCUGUCAAUGUGGAGAGACAGAGACCAGGGCCCAAGCAGGCAGAGAGCAAUAGGGGAGAAACACCCCAACCUUUCUCUCCCCUCAUCCCUCAUCUCCUGCCAGAGCCUCCCAUGGCCCAAAGUAAACCAGAAGCAAGCUGAAUAUGAUGCUCAGAGCAGGCAGGGAAGUCAGGAGAAUAGAUCUGGGUGUGGUCGGGCCUGAGGAAGAGGGUGUUGCCUCAUUUCACAGAUGGGAAAACUGACCUCAGCCGGGCACGGUGGCUCACGCCUGUAAUCCCAGCACUUUGGGAGGCCGAAGCCGGCGGAUCACCUGAGGCCAGGAGUUCAAGACCAGCC
This 2825-nucleotide small RNA is filed under the name Pan troglodytes (chimpanzee). RNAcentral describes it as "retained intron". The record is from RNAcentral. Lineage: Eukaryota; Metazoa; Chordata; Mammalia; Primates; Hominidae.